GCUGUGAGGGCGAAGUUAACCAGCAUGAUGUAAAUACAGUGGGGAACUCAGCGCCUCCUACAGGAUGAGUGUUCAGUAAAGGGCUGCUGUUUCAUGACGCCCCCUCCGGGCACAGUGCCAGGCACAUUUGCAAAGGGCAUCAGGCUCGGAGCAGACAGGCAGGGCUGCCCCGCCAGGGCCCCACCCCGGGCCUUUUGUUCCCUGCGGGUUUGGUUCUGCUUCUCUUUCCAGGUGUGAAUGGUCCCUGGCAGCCAAGGACUGCUCCAGUUUCCCCUUCCAGCCGCUGUGCGGGCGGGCUGGGGCGGGGGCGCCGCCUCCCGGCCGUGCUGCCCCGGCUCCCCGACACCGCUGCCUGGCCCCCAUGGCAUUCCUGUCCCCACGGCGCACAGAAGGCCCCUUUGUCUCGGGCCGCACCUGACUCGGCACAGCGGGGGUGGCGACCGCGCCGCUGGCACGCGGCCAGGGCACUUUCCGCAAUAACAGCGUUAGUCACGCCGCUGCCAGAAAGCGCCUUGUAAACCGUUCCUGGGUCUGCGUGGCCCUGGGCGGGUGUUUUUCAUUUCCUUUCCAUGUUGAUUUUUAAAUGCAGGCUGCUUUUUGGUGCGAAACAGAGACUCUGGGUCAGUCUUGCGCCUGCUCCCUGAUGCUCUGGCGCAAGGGGACGGUCAUCUCGUUGGCCCCCUGCAGAGCUGAGCACCGAGCUGCCGGCCGCCAGCCCAGGGGCUGAAGGCUCCAGCAAGGACGCACGCCUCGGCGUCUCCCCUUGCCGCUUAGGAGAAUCAUGCUGAAGCCGACCCUUCUGUUUCCAGAGCGGGGUGCUGCCCAUCAGCGGCGCCGGCGUCUCUCUCCAGCUGCGAGGCUGCUCAGUGCUGUUGGUUUGCUGCAUCAUGCGCGGCUCCCAUCAGCAGGGAGACAGGGGCGGGGUUGCAUUUGGAACAGGCACAGGGGAGUAAUACCGCCUGACCGGCACGUCAGGAUGUGCCAGCCGUGAACUAGACGGCGUCCUUCUCCAGAAACUCUGGGGCACAGCACUGGGGGGUCCUGGCACUGGGGGCUCCUGGCAUUGAGGGGGUCCUGGCAUUGGGAGUUCUCUGGUAUCGGGAGUCCUGGCACUGCGGGACCCCUGGCACUGGGGAGCCCCUGGCACUAGAUUUGAAGCCAGAUCGUUGGAGCAGCUGACAAUCAGAGCGUGUUCUUCAGGAUUGCUCACAGAAAUUUGUGUUUCUCUCUCCUCCCAGAAACACACAAGGCAGCCGCGAAGUUUACUGUCCAUGCAAGGACCCACUUGAGAGCGGAUGGCCGUGCCAACCAGAUGGAACGCCCGGACAGCAGGUGUAAACCAGGACAUCCUGGCAAACAGAUGAGUUUGAAAUUCUUGCUUCGGGCCAUAUGGAGUGGGAAACUGAGGCACGAGGCGGGAAGUUAUGGCCUGACUCCCAGCAGCUGAGCUGAACCCGGACAGCGGUCUGCUUCCUUGCUCUGCUGUGCUCCCCUCUGCAUCAGGUGGCCUCGCCCAACACAGGACAACGACCAGCUUGGACCCCCCAGAGGCUUCCCAGAGUGGGUGGGGGCUGGAUUGGGGCCCACAGGUGUGUUCCCUGACUCGGGGGGCCUGCGCAGACCCCACUGUCUGCCCUCCUAGGCUUCAGCAGAGAGACUUGCCCUUUUAUCUUGUUCACUUGCUGCCAAUCACUCUUCAUCAGAGCCCUUUCCUUCAGGCUGCGGCCGAGGAAUUGUUACAUCUCCUAGAUUUUAAAAAAUGUAGGUUGCUUUUUCUUAAAAAAAAAAUUGUCUCUGAAAUAAGCUCACAAGCCCUUUCCAUAUUUUUACAAAGCUGUUAGCAAAUCCUCAAGGAAGGAUGUUGUCGUCAGCUUCAGGUAGGUGCGUUAGGAGACAGCCUGGGGCAGCACUGCGGCUCGGUGCGGGGAGGAGGGCAGGCUGAAAUCCAAGGGAGCUGGAACACCCACCAUUCCCCACCACUGCCAAGAUGGAGCCCACCCGGGGAGGCAGCAGGAUACAGGGCCAAGGAAACCCCCAACACCAGCUAACCCCAUGGGGGGUGCAGGGGAGCCUGAGAGAAGGGCUGGAUGCCAGUGGGAAGUCUUAAGGAAAGGGUUUCAUGUGCCUCAAAGGACCCAAUCAACAGAAUGAAAAGGCAACCCACGGAGGGAGAGAAAAUAUUUGCAAAUCACCUAUCU
Long non-coding RNA from Equus caballus (horse), 2198 nucleotides. RefSeq lists it as uncharacterized. NCBI's taxonomy places the organism in Eukaryota, Metazoa, Chordata, Mammalia, Perissodactyla, Equidae. The record is from RefSeq and is a predicted model, not a curated record.